UGGCGGCGUGCUUAACACAUGCAAGUCGAACCUUUAGGCCCUUCGGGGUACUCGAGUGGCGAACGGGUGAGUAACACGUGGGUGAUCUGCCCUGCACUCUGGGAUAAGCCUGGGAAACUGGGUCUAAUACCGGAUAGGACCACACACUUCAUGGUGAGUGGUGCAAAGCUUUUGCGGUGUGGGAUGAGCCCGCGGCCUAUCAGCUUGUUGGUGGGGUAAUGGCCCACCAAGGCGACGACGGGUAGCCGGCCUGAGAGGGUGACCGGCCACACUGGGACUGAGAUACGGCCCAGACUCCUACGGGAGGCAGCAGUGGGGAAUAUUGCACAAUGGGCGCAAGCCUGAUGCAGCGACGCCGCGUGAGGGAUGACGGCCUUCGGGUUGUAAACCUCUUUCAGUAGGGACGAAGCGAAAGUGACGGUACCUACAGAAGAAGGACCGGCCAACUACGUGCCAGCAGCCGCGGUAAUACGUAGGGUCCGAGCGUUGUCCGGAAUUACUGGGCGUAAAGAGCUCGUAGGUGGUUUGUCGCGUUGUUCGUGAAAACUCACAGCUUAACUGUGGGCGUGCGGGCGAUACGGGCAGACUAGAGUACUGCAGGGGAGACUGGAAUUCCUGGUGUAGCGGUGGAAUGCGCAGAUAUCAGGAGGAACACCGGUGGCGAAGGCGGGUCUCUGGGCAGUAACUGACGCUGAGGAGCGAAAGCGUGGGUAGCGAACAGGAUUAGAUCCCCUGGUAGUCCCCCGCCGAAACCGGUGGGUACUAGGUGUGGGUUUCCCUUCCCUUGGGAUCCGUGCCGUAGCUAACGCAUUAAGUACCCCGCCUGGGGAGUACGGUCGCAAGACUAAAACUCAAAGGAAUUGACGGGGGCCCGCACAAGCGGCGGAGCAUGUGGAUUAAUUCGAUGCAACGCGAAGAACCUUACCUGGGUUUGACAUGCACAGGACGUACCUAGAGAUAGGUAUUCCCUUGUGGCCUGUGUGCAGGUGGUGCAUGGCUGUCGUCAGCUCGUGUCGUGAGAUGUUGGGUUAAGUCCCGCAACGAGCGCAACCCUUGUCCUAUGUUGCCAGCGGGUAAUGCCGGGGACUCGUAGGAGACUGCCGGGGUCAACUCGGAGGAAGGUGGGGAUGACGUCAAGUCAUCAUGCCCCUUAUGUCCAGGGCUUCACACAUGCCACAAUGGCCAGUACAGAGGGCUGCGAAGCCGCAAGGUGGAGCGAAUCCCUUAAAGCUGGUCUCAGUUCGGAUUGGGGUCUGCAACUCGACCCCAUGAAGUCGGAGUCGCUAGUAAUCGCAGAUCAGCAACGCUGCGGUGAAUACGUUCCCGGGCCUUGUACACACCGCCCGUCACGUCAUGAAAGUCGGUAACACCCGAAGCCAGUGGCCUAACCUUUUGGAGAGAGCUGUCGAAGGUGGGAUCGGCGAUUGGG
This 1429-nucleotide ribosomal RNA is filed under the name uncultured bacterium. Its description in RNAcentral is "16S ribosomal RNA". It matches the Rfam family "Bacterial small subunit ribosomal RNA". The record is from RNAcentral.